Molecule: ribosomal RNA, 253 nt
Filed under: uncultured bacterium
Lineage: Bacteria
Description: partial 16S ribosomal RNA
Rfam family: Bacterial small subunit ribosomal RNA
Source: RNAcentral
UACGUAGGGGGCAAGCGUUGUCCGGAAUCAUUGGGCGUAAAGCGCACGUAGGCGGGUCGUUAAGUCAGGGGUGAAAUCCCGGAGCUCAACUCCGGAACUGCCUUUGAUACUGGCGACCUUGAGGCUGGAAGAGGUUAGUGGAAUUCCCAGUGUAGAGGUGAAAUUCGUAGAUAUUGGGAAGAACACCAGUGGCGAAGGCGGCUAACUGGUCCAGAUCUGACGCUGAGGUGCGAAAGCGUGGGGAGCAAACAGG